GCGUGUGUGAAGAAGGCCUGCGGGUUGUAAAGCACUUUCAGUGGGGAAGAAAAGCCUGGGGCUAAUACCGCCGGGUCUUGACGUUACCUACAGAAGAAGCACCGGCUAACUCCGUGCCAGCAGCCGCGGUAAUACGGAGGGUGCAAGCGUUAAUCGGAAUUACUGGGCGUAAAGCGCGCGUAGGCGGUCUGUUAAGUCAGAUGUGAAAGCCCUGGGCUUAACCUGGGAACUGCAUUUGAUACUGGCGGGCUAGAGUAUGGUAGAGGGAAGUGGAAUUCCGGGUGUAGCGGUGAAAUGCGU
Molecule: ribosomal RNA, 300 nt
Filed under: uncultured bacterium
Lineage: Bacteria
Description: bacterial SSU rRNA
Rfam family: Bacterial small subunit ribosomal RNA
Source: RNAcentral